GCCGCGUCCCCGGCACGGCGCCCCCUUCCAGCCGGUCCCCGCUCCCAGCGCCGGCUCUUGGCGCCCGAAGACCCGGGGCCUCCUCUCUCCCGAACCGUCAACGUCCGGAAACCGGCGGCCGGAACAAGUGGCGGGAAGGCGGCCUCCGGAAUCCCUGCCUUCUCUCUCCUUCCGAAGACGCACGGAGUCGUCCGGGCGGCCCGGCGCCCACCUCCUCACGCCAAGAGCCCGAAGACUCGAGGUCCGGCUCGAGAGCGACAAGCGGGCCAACCGUGACUUCCGGCGUCUAUUCCAGCGGCACCUGCGAUCACGAGCCCUGCACGCCUCUGCCUUUCCACACACGCUUUGACAAGGAGGGAGUAAGCAAGAGGAGCCCAAGGCCCACGUAAAACCAAACGAGACCAAACCCGAGUCUCGUCAGGUGGCAGCCAGGGCCCCGAGAAAAGUAGCAGGUGCUACAAAUCUUCCCGACGAAGAACACGGUUUCGAUCGAGGCAGCGAGGGAACCUUCCGACCUGCACGACGCCAGGGGACACGUGACAAGAAGCUCUGGGAACGGCAGCGGGAGGGGAACGAGCAGGACGGUCUCCCGGCUCCCAACGGGAAAGGCACGGGUGUCCAGCCUGAAGUUCCAGGCGUGGGAACAACAUCAGGAAAAAUUUCCAAAGGACCUGAAAUUUGGUUUUCACUGACUUAGCCCCAAAUAAGCACAAGGUGUGAUUAAAAUGGGGCAGAGGGAGGCGAACGAGAGAAGUUUAAGCUCAAUUAUCAAUAUCAAAAGAAGAAUUUUAUGUUCUUGUUAAAAAUUUUGGAAACUGAAGAGAUUUAAACAUUUUUUUUUUCCUGAACACUUAUUCCUUAAAGCAUAUGAGAAUUAAAAUGUUGGGAGUCUAUUUUUCCACUAAUAACCUAAAACAUUUGAUCCUACGAUUUUAAACCAGAGGUAGACAAGGCUGGAUGCACAUCAGAAUCUCACAGAAGCUUCUGGAUAAGGGCCUCACCCAAGACUACCUGAAUCUCUAGGGCGGGGCCCUGGCAAGGUCUGCUUGUUUUUGAAAAGUCUGCUCCAGGUGAAAUUUACCAGUGGUGAGUAGAGAACCACCAAUUUAGAUCUUACCACUAGCAAAUUAAACUAGAAAGUGGCAUCAAUAUAUACUUCACUUUAUCUGAAUCUUAUAAUACAGUGAGAACAAUAAGCACCUGAGCUAAAAAUGCAGUAGGGAAGACAUUAAAGGACAUCUGUCAUUUUAAUCACAUUUUUCAGGCCUCUCGUUAAAAAAAAAAAUCAAUGGUUGAGUUAGCCUAAAAAAACCCUACGUAUGGUACCUAUAGAUUACACUACCUAUAACAUGUCGUGCUCAAGAAUCUUUAUUACAAAUAUUAAGUUCUAGAGUAGCUUAUUUAUAUCUCAAAAGAUUUUACUCAAAGCACAGAAUGGCUCUUCCCUGAAUACAUAAUUAUACAACAGUCACACUGUAAAGCCAGCACGUCGUGCAUACAGGGCUAAUACUGUAAAGUGCUUUUAUUUACAUAGGGUUCGUGGCGGAUCAAUUUUUACCUAUGAUCUCUGAAAUAACUGUCAUUUGUUUCACAGGCACACGGAACUUCAGAAAGUUUAGGAAAGGAGUUUUUUCUUUUGGUUUUACGUGACAGGUGGUGAUGGUAUGCUCUGUAAAAGGUAUCUUUCAGAAUAUCUGACCUGCACUCGACAGCUGGAUUGUGGAAGGUGUGCACCACGUUUCUAAGGAUACGUUUUUCACUUCCAUACAACUGAACACCGCAUGCGGCCGCCCGGGCCCAAGGAGGCAGUGCGGUUCAUGCUGGAUACGUACCAUUGUCUAUGAAACCACAGCGGUUUACCAAAAACCAGGACAUUAUGAUUAACUGAAGGUCGAAAGGAAAAACAUCCUCGUUACUGAUCAUCUCUUUAAGUAGUAGCCUACUGUGCAACCCUACCAUCAAGUACAUUUUGUGUUCGCACAGGAAGUAACUACAUUGUUUUUUGAUCUCUGAGGACCUUGCAGGGCCUGAAAGUCAUGCUGAACAUCAACGCUGAAUGUUAAGAGCUGGCUUAUACAGAGUGCAGGUGCCUCUAGUGGCUCCAGGACAUACCCUACAAACCGCAUACUGAAUAAUCCUUGUUACCACUGUG
Long non-coding RNA from Leopardus geoffroyi (Geoffroy's cat), 2152 nucleotides. RefSeq lists it as uncharacterized. The record is from RefSeq and is a predicted model, not a curated record. The transcript has 2 exons. Lineage: Eukaryota; Metazoa; Chordata; Mammalia; Carnivora; Felidae.